Molecule: ribosomal RNA, 471 nt
Filed under: uncultured bacterium
Lineage: Bacteria
Description: partial 16S ribosomal RNA
Rfam family: Bacterial small subunit ribosomal RNA
Source: RNAcentral
GACGAACGCUGACGGCGUGCUUAACACAUGCAAGUCGAACGAUGAAGCCUAGCUUGCUAGGUGGAUUAGUGGCGAACGGGUGAGUAAUACGUGAGUAACCUACCUUUAACUCUGGGAUAAGCCUGGGAAACUGGGUCUAAUACCGGAUACGACCAAUCUCCGCAUGGGGUGUUGGUGGAAAGCGUUAUGUAGUGGUUAUAGAUGGGCUCACGGCCUAUCAGCUUGUUGGUGAGGUAACGGCUCACCAAGGCGACGACGGGUAGCCGGCCUGAGAGGGUGACCGGCCACACUGGGACUGAGACACGGCCCAGACUCCUACGGGAGGCAGCAGUGGGGAAUAUUGCACAAUGGGCGCAAGCCUGAUGCAGCGACGCCGCGUGAGGGAUGACGGCCUUCGGGUUGUAAACCUCUGUUAGCAGGGAAGAAGAGAAAUUGACGGUACCUGCAGAGAAAGCGCCGGCUAACUACGUG